CCCUUAGAUGUUCUGGGCUGCACGCGCGCUACACUGAUGCGCUCAACGAGUUUACGACCUUGCCCGGAAGGGUUGGGUAAUCUUUUUAAAACGCAUCGUGAUGGGGAUAGAUUAUUGCAAUUAUUAAUCUUUAACGAGGAAUUCCUAGUAAGCGCGAGUCAUCAGCUCGUGCUGAUUACGUCCCUGCCCUUUGUACACACCGCCCGUCGCUCCUACCGAUUGAAUGUUUCGGUGAAGAUUCCGGAUAGGACUUUUUUGAUUUAUUUCAAUUUUGUCUUAAAAGCUAUCUAAACCUCAACAUUUAGAGGAAGGUGAAGUCGUAACA
This 325-nucleotide ribosomal RNA is filed under the name uncultured eukaryote. RNAcentral's name for it is "partial 18S ribosomal RNA". It matches the Rfam family "Eukaryotic small subunit ribosomal RNA", at positions 1470 to 1796 of the family's 1831-position model. The record is from RNAcentral.